GUAAAUUUGUUAUUCCUGUAUGAUUGGAGACACGUCCUCGGCGAACACUCCACAGAGAUACGCGAGUGGAGGACUACACCCGUAACCAGAAUCUCUGGGAUUUAGAGAGCGUGACUUGAGUGUAUAGAUCUAUACGGGGCUGACUACCCCACACCUGGCUGCUAGCUACAGCCGAACCGAAAUGGUUCAAGGGUGACGAAAGUCAUAAGGAUGUGGACUACUUAUUGCCACAGGUUCAGUCUAUCGUAUGGUUAUGGAACUCGCAAUUAGGAUAACAGAGAUUUACUUAUAGUAAUAAUGAAUAACUUUAUACACUUCACAAGAUAUCCAGGUUUUUGGUAUACAUCUUUUACAUUGAUAACUCACAUUCAGGAAAGUAUGGGACUUUCCUGGGAAACCUUGUACAUAACCAGGUCUAACCAGAAUACAUCUUUUACAUCUUUUACAAAUGGUAACCAACAUUCAGGAAAGCAUGGGGCUUUCCUGGGGAAAACAUUUACAUAACUAGAAAAGUGUAACAAACUGGAUAACCUUACAUCUUUUACAAUUGGUAAUAUACAAUCAGGAAAGUAUGGGACUUUCCUGGGGAUCCAUUGGUACAUAACCAGAACAGAAUAACAAAACAGAUAACCUAAAUGUACAUUUUCACAAGGGUAAACAUGUUUUCAGUGUACAACUUUACUUUACAUAAUGUGAAACAACCAACCAACCUUUUUAAGAAAAUGUGGGAUUUUCUUGGCGUGUGUUACAUUUUCAGAAACAGAAAGGAAACAUGAACAUUUUCACAAAACAAAAACCACUUAUGAACUCACCAGCGUUAUGCUGAUUUUCAAACCGCUUGUGUUCUCAGGUCAACGUUAGAACAGGUACUGAAGAUCCUUUUACCCGAAGUCGGAGUGCUCAGAAGACCCGUUUCAUUUUGUUUCUAUAUAUAUACUAUGUAUCACAACUGUACAACUUUAAUUUUUGAAACAAUUGUAAAACUUUUUAUAUGUAAUGUAAUGGUUGUUCUACUUUACUUACUAUGUACAUUGGAUUUGAUACUCAACGUGGAGUCAACCCCGGAAAUGUUUCCGCCUUCGGUUUUCGGGGUGUGACAGAUUGGUAUCAGAGCCCUUGUUUAUAGUGAAUAAAGUAUACCAAACCUUACAUGGUAUAAAACUAUAAACACUAAAGGGCCUAAGUGCUCUGAAAUAAAAGUAUCUUCAAACUAUAAGUAUUUUCAAAAAGUAUAUAAGUAUACCGAGCCGUCGAGAUCCGUAACUACAAGUAAAACAAAACAUAAGUAAAUGGAUGUUGUGUACUGCGGUUAAACCUGGGCAGUUAUGUAGUCGUGUCUAGGAUCAAUAUAGCCUGGCCAACUAUAUUCAUUCGAGACACGGCCAACAUGUGCUUGGGAGUGACUGUGGUAUGCGACGUGCCUAAAACUUACAAUAAUACCACAAACAUCGCGCCAGUGUAGUAACAAAUCAUGAAAUACUAUGGGAGUAUUUCUCGAGCCAAUCUUUUGUAAGAAUCCUCGUUCACGUAUAGAUCCUUGAUCAUUCCAUUAGCGAUAGUUUACCUGCUUUGAUAACUCUUUCCUGCUUUAUCGCUUAUUUGGAAUAAAUAUCUGUCAUAUCUCUCGAUUCAAUUCAGAGGACUUAUCAUCCUCUCUUUCUUGAUCUUAUUAGAUCAAGAUGCCUCCCAGAAAGAGACCCAGCUCAAAGACCAACAACCCUCUGCCACCACCUCCUCCUGAAAUUGAUCUCGUGUUAUUCCAAACAGCUGUUACCGCCACGGUGGCAGCUGUCAUGUCCCAAUUGAACACCGGUGGUUCCAGUGGUUCGGGAAGUGGUACUCAAGACCAAGAAAGUAACCAGGAACGCCGAAAGGAGGGUUCAUACAAGGACUUCAUGAAUGCGAAGCCUUCAUCCUUCGAUGGCACUGGAGGUGUCAUUUCCUUAUCCCGAUGGUUCGAGAAAAUCGAAUCCAUUUUCGAAAUCUUUGCCUGUGCUGAGUCCGAAAAGGUUAAAUUUGCAUCAUGUACCUUCCUCGAUAAAGCUUUGACUUGGUGGAACGGUCGAGUGAAAUCCUUGACCCUACCCGUAGCUAAUGCCAUGGGCUGGGAUGCCAUGAAAGAACUCCUCCUUGCCGAAUAUUGUCCCCGUGGUGAAAUGCAGAAGCUAGAGCACGAGCUCUGGAACCUGAAGAUGAAAGGUUCCGACAUUGCUGCAUACAUUUCCCGAUUCGAUGAUCUUGCCCUUCUCUGUCCUGGUCUGGUCACUCCUGAAAGCAAAAAGAUUGAGAGGUUUAUUUGGGGGUUAACCAAUCCAACAAAGGGUCAUGUCUUAGCUGCUCGCCCGGAUACAUAUGAUAGUGCUAAGACUUUAGCCCAAGCUAUAAUUAACCACAGUAAUGAUGUCGAGGAAACCACUACCUCUCCUGAAUCGACUAAAAGCAGUGGUGAGAAGAGAAAGUUCUGGAAGAAGAAGAAGGGUCAAUCUUCCCAAGGAUCCUCCAAAAGACAGCAAACAGUAGCAGUCCAUGCUGCUACUACCCCUGUUGCUGCUGCUUCUAUUGUGGGAUCCACAGCUCCAACUCCUACCAUCCGGUAUGCUGGUAAUCUUCCUCUCUGUGACAAGUGAAAGUAUCACCACAACCCUGGCCCCUGUCGAGAACUUUCCUGUACCAAUUGUGGUAAGAAGGCGCACACAGUUCGAUUCUGCAAAGCACCGACCCAAUCGGUCAAUCAAUCUUCUGGAGCAGGCGUUGGUCAAGCCUGUUACAACUGUGGUGAAGCUGGGCACUUUAAAAGGAACUUCCCCAAAAAGUCUACUGCUGAUAACACCGGAAGGGUCCUCGCCAUGGGACGGGAGGAAGCGGUUGCCGAUCCCACUGUCGUCUCGGGUACGUUCCUUCUCGACAACUCAUAUGCUAAUAUUCUUUUUGACUCGGGUGCUGAGAGGAGCUUUAUUAGUCAUGCAUUCAAACAUAACCUAAAACAUAAUUCCCGACCUUUAACCGAAACGUUUACCGUCGAGAUGGCGAACGGUGAGAAAGAAAGCGCGAGCGAAGUGUUCGUAGGUUGUACCCUUACCCUGAACGACCAUUCGUUUCCUAUCGAUCUCAUGCCAGUAUCCAUAAAGAGCUUUGAUGUCAUCAUUGGCAUGGAUUGGUUGAGUCCCAAUCAUGCAGACAUCCUUUGUUUCGAAAAAGCAAUCCGUCUCAACCUUCCUUCGGGUCAAACUCUAGUAAUCUAUGGCGAUAAACUCAGUUCCAACCUUCGUAUCAUUUCCUGCAUCAAAGCUCAGAAGCUCCUGCGAAAGGAGUGUAUUGCAUUCUUGGCCCAUGUAAUCAACGAGAAGCAGGAAGUUAAAGACCUCGCGAGCAUCCCCGAAGUCUGUAACUUUCCUGAUGUAUUUCCCGAAGAGCUUCCAGGAAGUCCUCCCGAGCGUCAGGUCGAGUUCCGUAUUGACCUAAUUCCUGGAGCUACUCCUGUAGCGAAGUCUCCGUAUCGCUUAGCUACAGCAGAAAUGCAGGAGUUAUCCAGUCAACUCAACGAGUUGCUCAGUAAAGGAUUCAUUAGAUCAACUUCCUCACCCUGGGGAGCUCCGGUAUUGUUUGUCAAGAAGAAAGAUGGAUCCUUUCGGAUGUGUAUCGAUUAUCGCGAACUGAACAAGUUGACUGUCAAAAACCGAUAUCCUCUUCCGCGAAUAGAUGACCUCUUCGAUCAACUCCACGGAGCCAGUUACUUCUCCAAGAUAGAACUUCGAUCAGGGUACCAAUAGCUACGAGUUCAUGAGAGUGAUGUUUACAAAAUAGCUUUCAGGACUCGAUAUGGACACUACGAGUUCGUAGUGAUGCCCUUUGGUCUAACCAACGCACCGGCGGUGUUCAUGGACCUGAUGAACCGGGUGUGUCGUCCUUAUCUGGACAAGUUUGUCAUUGUGUUCAUUGAUGACAUACUCGUCUAUUCCCGAAGCGAAGAAGACCACAAACAACACUUGAGGCUAGUGUUGGAAACCCUGCGAUCCAAAAAGUUGUACGCGAAAUUUUCGAAAUGCGAGUUCUGGAUUCGGAAGGUAACUUUCCUUGGUCAUGUACUAAGCGAGGAGGGUAUUCAUGUAGAUCCUUACAAGAUAAAGGCUAUAGAGAAUUGGUCAACACCGAAGACACCCACAGAAAUCCGGCAAUUCUUGGGUCUCGCUGGCUAUUAUUGGAGAUUCAUUCAGAACUUUUCUAGAAUCGCCAAACCCUUAACCACUCUAACACAGAAAGGUGUACCCAUUUGUUGGAAUGAUAAGCAAGAAACCGCAUUCUAGACGCUAAAGAAAGCCUUGUGCAGCGCGCCUGUUCUGUCCCUACCCGAAGGGACGGAGGACUUCGUUGUCUACUGCGAUGCGUCUAAUCAAGGCUUAGGUUUUGUGCUUAUGCAAAGGGGAAAAGUAAUUGCCUAUGCCUCUAGACAGCUGAAAGCACACGAGGUUAACUAUACCACACACAACUUGGAGCUAGGAGCCAUAGUCUUUGCAUUGAAGAUUUGGAGACAUUACCUCUACGGAACCAAGUGCACGAUCUUCACCGAUCACAAGAGCCUGCAACACAUCUUUGACCAGAAAGACUUAAACAUGAGACAAAGGCGAUGGGUAGAACUACUCAGUGAUUAUGAGUGUGAAAUCCGUUACCAUCCCGGCAAGGCCAAUGUGGUAGCAGAUGCCCUUAGCCGAAAGGAGAGGGCAGGCCAUAAAGUGAAGAACCAUACGAUGACCAUCCAUUCCAACCUACCCAUGCAAAUCCGAGAAGCCCAGUUAGAAGCCCUCAAACCCGAGAAUAUGUCGACCGAAGCCUUGAGAGGAAUGGAAAAGAAACUUGAUAUCAGAGGUGACGGAGUCCAUUGUUUCAUGGAUCAGAUCUGGAUUCCCAAGUUCAGAGGAUUUAGAGAGAUAGUUAUGGAGGAAGCGCAUAGAACCAGAUACUUUGUUCACCCGUGCUCGACAAGAUGUACUUUGAUCUCAAGAAACAAUACUGGUGGCCAAACAUGAAGGCUGAGAUAGCUACGAUCGUGGGCAAGCGUCUGACUUGCGCCAAAGUAAAAGUUAUGCACCAGAAACCCUCGGGUCUGCUCCAGCAACCUGAGAUACCCGAAUGGAAAUGGGAGAUGAUCACCAUGGAUUUCAUCACCAAACUACCCAAGUGUCCGAGUGGGUAUGAUACCAUUUGGGUGAUUGUUGAUCAUUUGACAAAGUUCGCUCACUUCGUUCCGAUCAAAGAAUCAUACAAGAUGGAAAGACUCGCGCGGAUUUACAUCGAAGAGGUAGUCCGACUGCACGGUGUACCUGCGUCAUUUAUCUCUGAUCGAGAUAGCAGGUUUACCUCCCGAUUUUGGCAGUCUCUUCAAAAAGCUCUUGCAACCAAACUAGAUAUGAGCACAGCGUAUCAUCCUCAGACCAAUGGACAAAGUGAGAGAACAAUCCAAACCCUGGAGGACAUGCUUAGGGCAUGUGUCAUUGACUUUGGAAAGUCGUGGGACACACAUCUACCUUUAAUCAAAUUCUCGUACAACAACAGUUACCACACCAGCAUUAGGGCUGCCCCGUUUGAAGCCCUAUACGGUCGCAAGUGCAGAUCCCCUCUAUGCUGGGCUGAGGUGGGGGAUACACAGUUAGCCAAGAGUCGAGUCCCGGACAGUGCUCUCACUGGUCCUGAAAUCAUCCGUCAAACCACUGAGAAGAUCAUCCAAAUCCGAGAACGACUGAAAGCUUCACGUGAUCGCCAGAAGAGUGACGCUGAUAACCGUCGGAAACCACUGGAAUUCCAGGUUGGAGACCAUGUCCUGUUGAAGGUCUCGCCCUAGAAAGGCACUGUACGCUUUGGUAAGCAUGGGAAAUUUAAUCCGAGGUACAUUGGACCUUUCAAGAUCCUCGCUAGGAUUGGUCUGGUAGCCUAUAAACUUCGUUUACCUCACGAGCUCAGUAACAUCCAUCCCGUCUUCCAUGUUUCAAAUCUCAAGAAAUGCCUCUCCAAUGAAACCCUAGUGAUUCCUUUAGACGAGAUCGAGAUCGAUGAAAACCUCAACUUCGUGGAGGAACCGAUCGAAAUCAUGGAUCGAGAAGUCAAACGUAUGAAACAAAGUCGCAUCCCGUUAGUGAAGGUUCGCUGGAAUGCCAAGCGAGGACCGGAGUUCACUUGGGAGUGGGAAGACUCGAUGAAACAGAAGUAUCCGCAACUCUUUCCAGAUCCAUGAUUUGUGUUUUGUCUUAUAUCUUGUCUUGAAUUUCGGGACGAAAUUCCCUCUAACGGGGGGAUAAUGUAACAACCCGAAAUUCCAUAUCACUUCUUGUAACUCAAAUUGUAAUCCAAUUCGAUCAACCAAACGUCAUUUCCAAAUCUGUUUCCGAUUUUGCCAUUUAAUUAAGUCAUUAACUUGUAUUAAUCUAAAAUGACUUAAUGGGUGUCUUAAUGCCAUUUGAAAUCAUUCUAACACCCCAUAAAUGUCAUCGGAAUAAUUCUAGAAUCGACCAUAUCGGGUUACGGCAACUUGGUCGGGUGCGACCAAAAGCCCCGCCUAACGCCGGUAUCGGGUAGAUUUCCAUCGUGUCUAAUUCCCGAGCACUAUAUAAAGGACUCAAAUCUUUCAUUUGAAGCUUUUGGCCAUCUUUCCUUAAUCACUCUCCAACCUCUCUCCUCAUCCAUAAUCAAAGGUCCAAAAACAAAGAUUUAAGGCUCCAAAUCAAAGAGGCAACAUCCCUAACUUGUUAUCUAACCUCUUUAGCCUUCAAAUUGAUGUUUAAUUUGAGUUUUAGGACCUGGAACAUGUGUUUACGGCCAAGGAUCAAGCUUGGGCCGUAAACACUUAAAAAUGGGGUUUUUAAGCCAAUUAACCCUUCCAAAUCAUUGUUGGGAAUUAGAUACGACUUUGAGACUUUCAAUAUUGGACUUGAAACACUUAAAACAUAAAUUUUAUGGGACAAAAGAGAGUUUAUGUCCAAGGAAUGUGCUUGGGCCAUAAAAUCCUCAAACAUGGGGAGUAAACACAUUUUUACAUGUUAGUUUGCAUUGAAACUCAACCAAUAGCCUUGGAAUAAAUCAUAGAACCAUCUAAAAUUAGUUUGGGGGCCUUAAACAUAACAAAACACUACAUUUAGGAGUUUACACCCAUAGGACAUACUCUUAGGCCGUAAACUCAUAAAAGUGUGUCAAAUGAUGCCCUUAAACCAUCCCAAGGCUUGGAAAAAUUACUAGAAUCACAUGUGAUUGUCCUAAGCACCUCAAAUGAAUUUUUGUUUAAGCUUGGGGGAGUUUACGGCCGUAAAAUCCAUGUUUACAGCCGUAAAGUCCCAUAAAUGGUGUAUAAAUCCAAAAAAAUUAAUCCAAGGCAUUUUAGAAAUUCAUUCCAACAACCCCCAUGUCCAUUCAAGCCAUUAAACCCUCAAAAUCACACCCACAUGAGUUCACGGCCGUGAACUCAUGUAUGUGUGCGUUAUAUGGCCAUAAACUCUAUAAAGUGUUUACUCUUGGGGAGUAAACUCAAAUCCUAAGUCCCUAGUGCCAUUAUACGUCCAAAGAUGUCACCCGGGUCACUCCAAAAGCUCGUUUUGACACAUUUAAUCUCGUUGGAGUGUAAUGUUCCAUAUAAUAAGUGAUUGUAAAUCUAAUUAGAUAUAUAUGGGCAUUAUUUCAUUUUACAUAGGGACAUCGUGAAUAAUCAAGCCCCGAACCAAUGUCUAGUGUCCGAAACCGUCGCAUUUCCGAGUCUGGUGAGUUCAUACCCCUACCCUUUUUCACUAUUUUUCACUAUUUCCAGGGGGAAAACAAGCAAAGUACAAGGGUUUCUUGUACUCAAAAACUUGUUUUCGUGUGUGUGUUUCACAUUUUAUAUGCUUUUAAUACUGAUUGAUACAACUAGAAACCAUUCGAGCAUGCAGAUCACGUAAACAUUUAUUUGUGAAAUGAGUUUUAUAAACUGUUAUGUUUUAUAUAUUUCACAAAUGUUUUCCACAUUUUAUCAAUUAAAAGCGUGACAUUAGAACAUAUGAACAUGAAACUUGUACACUGUUUGUCCUCGGUAACACUCCACAGAGAUACGCGAGUGGAGGACUAUCAUAUUAUUACUAGUCAAUUUUUUAUUCCUGUAUGAUUGGAGACACGUCCUCGGUGAACACUCCACAAAGAUACGCUAGUGGAGGACUACACCCGUAACCAGAAUCUCUGGGAUUUAGAGAGCGUGACUUGAGUGUAUAGAUCUAUACGGGGCUGACUAUCCCACACCUGGCUGCUCGCUACAGCCGAACCGAAAUGGUUCAAGGGUGACGAAAGUCAUAAGGUUGUGGACUACUUAUUGCCACAGGUUCAGUCUAUAGUAUGGUUAUGGAACAUGCAUUUAGGAUAACAGAGAUUUACUUAUAGUAAUAAUGAAUAACUUUAUACACUUCACAAGAUAUCUAGGUUUUUGGUAUACAUCUUUUACAUUGAUAACUCACUUUCAGGAAAGUAUGGGACUUUCCUGGGAAACCUUGUACAUAACUAGGACCAACUAGAAUACAUCUUUUACAUCUUUUACAAAUGGUAACCAACAUUCAGGAAAGCAUGGGGCUUUCCUGGGGAAAGCAUUUACAUAACUAGAAAAGUGUAACAAACUGGAUAACCUUACAUCUUUUACAAUUGGUAAUAUACAAUCAGGAAAGUAUGAGACAUUCCUGGGGAUCCAUUGGUGCGUAAUCGGAACAGAAUAACAAAACAGAUAACCUAAAUGUACAUUUUCACAAGGGUAAACAUGAUUUCAGUGUACAACUUUACUUUACAUAAUGUGAAACAACCAACCAACCUUUUUAAGAAAAUGUGGGAUUUUCUUGGCGUGUGUUACAUUUUCAGAAACAGAAAGGAAACAUGAACAUUUUCCCAAAACAAAAACCACUUAUGAACUCACUAGCUUUAUGCUGAUUUUCAAACCGCUUGUGUUCUCAGGUCAUUGAUAGAUCAGGUACCGAAGAUCCACUUGAUCCAGGAUGGAGUGCGUACACGAUCCGUUCG
This 9012-nucleotide long non-coding RNA is filed under the name Lactuca sativa (garden lettuce). RNAcentral describes it as "long non-coding RNA (LSAT_LNC004520)". Lineage: Eukaryota; Viridiplantae; Streptophyta; Magnoliopsida; Asterales; Asteraceae. The record is from RNAcentral.